CACUAACCCUAGACUUCCACACAACACUGGCCUACUCUAUCUCUCCGGCGAAGCCGAUUUGUGCCGGUCGCCGAUCAUUUUCUUGUUCGCUUAUUGUGGAUCUGAGCCUCCGUUUUUCUGUUCUUGAUUUUCCUAUUUUUUUUUGUUCUGGGUUUUGCCCGAUGAUGCACAUCAUAAACGUAUUGAGCGGUUGCAAAUGGUAGUUUUAGUUCACUGUAGUCUCACUUACCACCACUUUCGCUACCACUACCAUCUCCUCCGCCGUCUCUUUAUUCAUAUACAUACACACACACUCACACACAAGUGUUGUGGUGGCGUGUGAAGGCUUUUGAUGGACGCCAUUUGUGUUAAAUCCGUGGAUGAUUUGUUCAAAGCUAUGAGAUCUGAGGGCUUUUUUUUUUUUAUCUAAUUUUUCCUCUCUGAUGUAAACCUUAUAUACAUUUUUCCUUAACGGUGCUCGUAUUGGCUUUGCAUGUAUGCUUUAUUGGGUCUCUGGGCCUGAUGGACUCGAGUUUGG
This 517-nucleotide unclassified non-coding RNA is filed under the name Hevea brasiliensis (rubber tree). Lineage: Eukaryota; Viridiplantae; Streptophyta; Magnoliopsida; Malpighiales; Euphorbiaceae. The record is from RNAcentral.